GGGGUGAAAGGCCAAUCAAACUGAGAGAUAGCUCGUUCUCCCCGAAAUGUUUUUAGGAACAGCCUCGGAUAUAGAAGUUUACUAGAGGUAGAGCUACUGAUUGGGCUAGGGGGCUUCACCGCCUACCAAACCCUGACAAACUCCGAAUGCUAGUAAAUAUCUCCGGGAGUGAGGCUGCGGGUGCUAAGAUCCGUGGCCGAGAGGGAAAUAACCCAGAUUAGCAGCUAAGGUCCCUAAGCGUAUGUUAAGUUGAUCAAACGAGGUGGAGUUUCUAUAACAGCCAGGAUGUUGGCUUGGAAGCAGCCAUUCAUUUAAAGAGUGCGUAACAGCUCACUGGUCGAGAGACUCUGCACGGAAAAUAAUCGGGCAUCAAACAUACCACCGAAGCUCUAAGAUUGCCAUUAAGUUGGUAUAUCGGUAGGGGAGCAUUCUGAACUGCAUCGAAGGUGACAGGCGACUGUUGCUGGAGCGUUCAGAAACGAAAAUGUAGGCAUAAGUAGCGAUAAAAGUAGUGAAAAACUACUUCACCGUAAGACUAAGGGUUCCUGAUCAACGUUAAUCGGAUCAGGGUUAGUCGGGUCCUUAGGCAAACCCGAAAGGGGCAGCUGAUGGAAAACUGGUUAAUAUUCCAGUACCCGCUUUAGUUUCGAUGGGGUGACGAGGUAGUGAACGACCCGCGGGGCAACGGAAGUUCCCGUUAAAGGGUGUAGUUAUUUUCUUUGCAGGUAAAUCCGCAGAGAAAGGCGAACCUGAUAGUACUGCAAAGCUUCGGCAGCGCAGAUAGUGGUCCUAAUCAUACCUCCGAGAAAACCCUCUAAGGUUAGGCUAAAGCGGCCCGUACCGCAAACCGACACAGGUAGUCGAGGAGAAUAUCCUAAGGUGCUCGGGUGAGCCGUGGAGAAGGAACUAGGCAAAUUGUGGCUGUAACUUCGGGAUAAAGCCAACCGCAGUGAUGCGGUCUCAGUAAAAUGGUUCAACCAACUGUUUAACAAAAACACAGGGCCCUGCAAAAUCGUAAGAUGACGUAUAGAGCCUGAUACCUGCCCGGUGCUGGAAGGUUAAGGAAGGAUGUUCGGCGCAAGCCAAAGCUUCUGACUGAAGCCCCAGUAAACGGCGGCCGUAACUAUAACGGUCCUAAGGUAGCGAAAUUCCUUGUCGGGUAAGUUCCGACCUGCACGAAUGGUCUAAUGAGUUGAACACUGUCUCCUCCACGAGCCCGGCGAAAUUGUAGUAUCGGUGAAGAUGCCGGUUACCCGUCACGGGACGGAAAGACCCCGUGAACCUUCACUACAACUUUGCAUUGAUUUUGAGCAAACGAUGUGUAGCAUAGUUGGGACGCUACGAAGCGGUGCCGCCAGGUGCCGUGGAGCGGUCGUUGAAAUACCAACCUUCGUUUGCUUAGAGUCUAAUCCGCGUAAUCGGAAACAGUGCAUGGUGGGUAGUUUGACUGGGGUGGUCGCCUCCUAAAAAGUAACGGAGGCUUGCAAAGGUUCCCUCAGUACGGUUGGUAAUCGUACGAAGAGCGCAUUAGUAUAAGGGAGCUUGACUGUGAGACAGACAAGUCGAGCAGGGUCGAAAGACGGCUAAAGUGAUCCGGUGGUUCUGCAUGGAAGGGCCAUCGCUCAAAGGAUAAAAGGUACUCCGGGGAUA
Molecule: ribosomal RNA, 1650 nt
Filed under: hypolithon metagenome
Description: bacterial LSU rRNA
Rfam family: Bacterial large subunit ribosomal RNA
Source: RNAcentral